Molecule: ribosomal RNA, 253 nt
Filed under: uncultured bacterium
Lineage: Bacteria
Description: partial 16S ribosomal RNA
Rfam family: Bacterial small subunit ribosomal RNA
Source: RNAcentral
UACGAAGGGGGCUAGCGUUGUUCGGAAUUACUGGGCGUAAAGCGUGCGCAGGCGGUGAUGUAAGACAGGUGUGAAAUCCCCGGGCUUAACCUGGGAACUGCAUUUGUGACUGCAUCGCUGGAGUGCGGCAGAGGGGGAUGGAAUUCCGCGUGUAGCAGUGAAAUGCGUAGAUAUGCGGAGGAACACCGAUGGCGAAGGCAAUCCCCUGGGCCUGCACUGACGCUCAUGCACGAAAGCGUGGGGAGCAAACAGG